RNAcentral lists this ribosomal RNA (912 nucleotides) under Isoptericola sp. RNAcentral's name for it is "bacterial SSU rRNA". It matches the Rfam family "Bacterial small subunit ribosomal RNA", at positions 48 to 966 of the family's 1533-position model. Lineage: Bacteria; Bacillati; Actinomycetota; Actinomycetes; Micrococcales; Promicromonosporaceae. The record is from RNAcentral.
CUUACACAUGCAAGUCGUACNNAUGAAGACACAGCUUGCUGGGUGGAUCAGUGGCGAACGGGUGAGUAACACGUGAGCAACCUGCCCUCCACUUCGGGAUAAGCCUUGGAAACGGGGUCUAAUACCGGAUAUGAGCAUCUGCCGCAUGGUGGGUGUUGGAAAGUUUUUCGGUGGGGGAUGGGCUCGCGGCCUAUCAGCUUGUUGGUGGGGUGAUGGCCUACCAAGGCGUCGACGGGUAGCCGGCCUGAGAGGGCGACCGGCCACACUGGGACUGAGACACGGCCCAGACUCCUACGGGAGGCAGCAGUGGGGAAUAUUGCACAAUGGGCGAAAGCCUGAUGCAGCGACGCCGCGUGAGGGAUGACGGCCUUCGGGUUGUAAACCUCUUUCAGCAGGGAAGAAGGCCUUCGGGUGGACGGUACCUGCAGAAGAAGCGCCGGCUAACUACGUGCCAGCAGCCGCGGUAAUACGUAGGGCGCAAGCGUUGUCCGGAAUUAUUGGGCGUAAAGAGCUCGUAGGCGGUCUGUCGCGUCUGGUGUGAAAACCCGAGGCUCAACCUCGGGCUUGCAUCGGGUACGGGCAGACUAGAGUGCGGUAGGGGAGACUGGAAUUCCUGGUGUAGCGGUGGAAUGCGCAGAUAUCAGGAGGAACACCGAUGGCGAAGGCAGGUCUCUGGGCCGCAACUGACGCUGAGGAGCGAAAGCAUGGGGAGCGAACAGGAUUAGAUACCCUGGUAGUCCAUGCCGUAAACGUUGGGCACUAGGUGUGGGGCUCAUUCCACGAGUUCCGUGCCGCAGCUAACGCAUUAAGUGCCCCGCCUGGGGAGUACGGCCGCAAGGCUAAAACUCAAAGGAAUUGACGGGGGCCCGCACAAGCGGCGGAGCAUGCGGAUUAAUUCGAUGCAACGCGAGA